CACCUCGCUGUCGAGCACCUGUAACACCCCUCAAUUAGGAGUGCUAAACACAAUUUGAAAAUUCAAAUGGAGUCAGAAAUAUCAAGCCACGUGUUCCCUGCUCUCUCUCUCUCCCGUGCAUCGUCGCCGUGUCCAAGUUCGCCACGAACGCCGCCCGCUAACACCGUGCGCUGGCCAUCAGCGAAGCUUGCCGCGUUGCCCGGCCGCCAGCGACGUCGUCAAGUCCUUCACGCUCUCCUUCCGACCUCGCCACCUGCCAUUCCUUCUCUCCUGCGCUUCCUCUCAUUCCUCUCACUCUCUCACUCAGCUCUUCUUCAACCUCCAGAAACCAAGAACAGAGCAUUCGCCCCUUCCAUCGAUCUGCGCCUCCGGACCAUCUCCCUCAAAUCGACCGCAACCAAAGCUCCUUCAUCACCGUAGCUUCCUCCCCGACUCGUCCUUGCCAAGCUCCAGCCCUCCAUCGCCGGGAAUCGAGGUGGAACAGAGCCGUCGGCCCCUUUUUCCGCCCGAGCUCCACCUCGACGUCGAACUCCCUCGUCCGGUCAUCAUUUUCUUCACUUGACGGCUCAAAUCGACUCUAGAUAUGAUAGAUGAACCACGUGAGGGAUGUGACAUUGAAGCCGAGCCAGAAGACGGUGAAUGGUGGACACGUCUAGAAGAUGGAUGGAUGGAUCCCGAUGUACAUGAUCCCAAGGAAGGUAUAAAAGCUAACCAGGAUUCGCAUCAGUGGGCUCGAUGUGA
Panicum virgatum (switchgrass) is the source of this 741-nucleotide long non-coding RNA. RefSeq lists it as uncharacterized. Lineage: Eukaryota; Viridiplantae; Streptophyta; Magnoliopsida; Poales; Poaceae. The record is from RefSeq and is a predicted model, not a curated record. The transcript has 3 exons.